UUUUAUAUCCUCUCCCGGGAUAAAAUAAUUCAAUAAGCGGAGGAAAAGAAACCAACAGGGAUUGCUCUAGUAACGGCGAGUGAAGCAGCAAUAGCUCAAAUUUGAAAUCUGGCGUCUUCGGCGUCCGAGUUGUAAUUUGUAGAGGAUGCUUCUGGGCAGCCACCGACCUAAGUUCCUUGGAACAGGACGUCAUAGAGGGUGAGAAUCCCGUAUGCGGUCGGAAAGGCACCCUACACGUAGCUCCUUCGACGAGUCGAGUUGUUUGGGAAUGCAGCUCUAAAUGGGAGGUAAAUUUCUUCUAAAGCUAAACAUUGGCCAGAGACCGAUAGCGCACAAGUAGAGUGAUCGAAAGAUGAAAAGCACUUUGGAAAGAGAGUUAAAAAGCACGUGAAAUUGUUGAAAGGGAAGGGAUUGCAACCAGACUUGCUCGCGGUGUUCCGCCGGUCUUCUGACCGGUCUACUCGCCGCGUUGCAGGCCAGCAUCGUCUGGUGCCGCUGGAUAAGACUUGAGGAAUGUAGCUCCCUCGGGAGUGUUAUAGCCUCUUGUGAUGCAGCGAGCGCCGGGCGAGGUCCGCGCUUCGGCUAGGAUGCUGGCGUAAUGGUUGUAAUCCGCCCGUCUUGAAACACGGACCAAGGAGUCUAACAUCUAUGCGAGUGUUCGGGUGUCAAACCCCUACGCGUAAUGAAAGUGAACGGAGGUGAGAACCGCAAGGUGCAUCAUCGACCGAUCCUGAUGUCUUCGGAUGGAUUUGAGUAUGAGCAUAGCUGUUGGGACCCGAAAGAUGGUGAACUAUGCCUGAAUAGGGUGAAGCCAGAGGAAACUCUGGUGGAGGCUCGCAGCGGUUCUGACGUGCGAAAUCGGAUUUGGUUCUAA
RNAcentral lists this ribosomal RNA (874 nucleotides) under Cladosporium sphaerospermum. Its description in RNAcentral is "eukaryotic LSU rRNA". It matches the Rfam family "Eukaryotic large subunit ribosomal RNA", at positions 1 to 909 of the family's 3401-position model. The record is from RNAcentral. Lineage: Eukaryota; Fungi; Ascomycota; Dothideomycetes; Cladosporiales; Cladosporiaceae.